AGCCACCCUGCCGCCAUUAACAGCACUAGGCAGGCAGUGCGCAGAGCUGAGAACUUGCCCCAGGUUACCCGCCUCCCAGCUGCUAAACAAAAGGGAGGCUUUUCAGCUGGUUCAAAUUGUUACAAAGUUCAGCUAGAGAUUUGCUUUUACCUGCGGCGUUUUCCCCAUACCACUGGCUGCCCUCCCGAAGAAUUCCUGUGAUGCCAGGCAGGAAUGGCCUGGUUGGAGACCAGCUAGCUCCCAGGGCCUUUCCCGCUGCUUCCUCUACCCCUGUAUUUCGCUGGGCUCUCUAAAUGGAUUCAGCUCCAGGAUGGAGUGCAAUGGUGCGAUCUUGGCUCACUGCAACCUCUGCCUCCUGGAUUCCAGCGAUUCUCCUGCCUCAGCCCCCUGAGUAGCUGGGAUUACAGGUGCCUGCCACCACGCCCGGCUAAUUUUUGUAUUUUUAGUAGAGACGGGGUUUCACCAUGUUGGCCAGGCUGGUCUAGAACUCCUGACCUCAGGUGAUCCACCUGCCUUGGCCUCCCAAAGUGCUGGGAUUACAGACGUGAGCCACCGCAUAUACAUUUAUGUAUAUUUAUAUAUUAUAACACAGAGUUGCUGGCUCUCUGUUUCAGGAAACUCAAGUGUGGUCAUUUGAAUUUCUGCACUUCGUGAAAAUUGCACUCAAGUCUUUGGUGCAUUGUUCUACUGGAUUGUAUGCCCUUUAUGUGGAGUUAAGACUUAAAAAAAUUACACUGAAUGAAACCCUUUGUUAAUUUCCUGAGUUAUAAAUACCUACUCCCACUCUAUGAUACAUCAGUAUAUUCUGUUGAUGGAGUGUUUGAUGACUAGAGGAUUUUAUUUUAGUUAUCUAAUUUAACAAACUUUUUAUUGGAAGUGAUUGUAAUUUUUUCUUUCAAACUUUACUGUGAUCUAAUUCUAAAGUAAUAAUCUAAUAUUUAUGUACAUAAUUCAACUGGACUAUAUUUUAUAUUUAUGAUAUGAAGUAUGGCUCCAAUUUUAUUCUCAUCCACGUGUGCAUCAAGUGCCCAAUUUGUUUAUUGAAAAAACUGUUCCUUCUCCACUACCAUCUUUUUAAUUAUUGUAUGUCCAUAUAUCUAUGGUUCUGUUUCUAUGCUCUCUUUUUUAUUCAUUUAAUGUAGCUAAGCUUGCAACCUUACCACAGCAAUUUCCGUAAUUUUAGCUUUAUAAAUCUCCACAACAUUUUUAUUUUCAAGAAUGUCUGGGACAUUCUUAGUCCUUUACAUUUCUGUACGCAUUUCAGAUUCAGCUUGCCAUUCUGAACAUGACACACACAUACACACACACACACUCCACCUUACCACCUCAGUAGACACUCCUGUUAGCAAAGGAUUGAGAUUGCACUUUUUGUGAAUUAUGCACUGAAUCUAUAAAUGAUAUUUAGAGAACUGACAUCUUUACAACAAUUAACCUUUGAAUCUAGGAAUCUAGUAUAUAUCACUAUUUUUAUACUUAACGUCUGGGCCUUGACAUAUUUAAUGCUUUUUAAAUGUUUUUGUUGUGUCUUUAUUUUAAGAUAACACACAUAUUUACUGUGUUUUGCUGAAGUUUAUUAUGGCAUAUCAAAUUUAUGUCCAGUAAAUUUGCUAAACUCUCUUAAUUUUAAUAAUGUAUCUAAGAUGAUUUGGCUUUUUUUAUGGGCACAAUUGUAGUAUAUGUGAAAUAAUGUUUAAUUCAUUAAUUUUAAACAUUUCCUUUUAAAAAAUUAUGGAUUUAUAGCCUUAAAUUAAAUGUAUAUUAAUUAUGUUCUAGAUAUUUGGAUGCAUCCUACAUUGCUUAAUACACAGUAUGUUUAUUAUCUUACAGAUAAAUUUUUAAAAUUUUUUAUUUUGAUCUCUUUGAGCAGUGGGUUACUAGAAAUACAUUUCUCAACAUUCAAGGAUAUAGAUAUUUCUACAGAUCUUCAUUCCUGAUUUCAAGUAUUGCUUUGAAUCUGACAAUAUAUUGACUGUUUUGAUAUUUGGUGACAUUUGCUUUAUGACCCAAUAGACACUAAUUUUAGUUAAUGUUACACAUAUGCUUGUAAAGCACGCAUAUCCUAUGGCUGUUUGUGAAUUAUGUGGUUCAAAUCUAUAACCUAUUUUCUUUUUUUUGGUCAGGUAGUUUUAUAAAGUACUAAGAAAUGUGUCUUAAAAUCUCUCACUAUAAUGUAAGGCAUGUACAGUUUUGUUUUUCCUUGUAGUGCUUUUCUAUUUAGAUUACUGGCUGGAUAAAAAUUACAGAUUGUUUUAUCUAUCUUGAUCAAAUGAAGCUUUUAUUAUCAUAAAUAGGUCUUCUUUAUCUCUAGUAAUACUUUAUUUUGUAUUAAAAUCUGUUUUGCCUAUUUUAAUAAAAUUAUUUUGCUAACUUUGAUGUUUAAAUAAUAGUUUGUCAGUUUUCAUCCUUUUUUUUGAAGCUUUCUGAAUGUUUUUGCUUGAUGUGCCUCGUAUGAACAACAUAAUAUUAUAAUUAUAUUUCUUUUUCUUGUUGGCUUCUUUUAUUUUUUUAAGCUGACAUUUUAUUACUGAGAAAGAAAAAUAUACAAGAUGUUGGGAAACAAUUUAUUUGCUUCUACCAUAAAGA
This 2583-nucleotide long non-coding RNA is filed under the name Homo sapiens (human). Its description in RNAcentral is "HSALNT0303774". Lineage: Eukaryota; Metazoa; Chordata; Mammalia; Primates; Hominidae. The record is from RNAcentral.